UGGGGAAUUUUGGACAAUGGGCGCAAGCCUGAUCCAGCCAUGCCGCGUGCGGGAAGAAGGCCUUCGGGUUGUAAACCGCUUUUGUCAGGGAAGAAAUCUUCUGAGUUAAUACCUCGGGAGGAUGACGGUACCUGAAGAAUAAGCACCGGCUAACUACGUGCCAGCAGCCGCGGUAAUACGUAGGGUGCAAGCGUUAAUCGGAAUUACUGGGCGUAAAGCGUGCGCAGGCGGUUUUGUAAGACAGAGGUGAAAUCCCCGGGCUCAACCUGGGAACUGCCUUUGUGACUGCAAGGCUUGAGUGCGGCAGAGGGGGGAUGGAAUUCCGCGUGUAGCAGUGAAAUGCGUAGAUAUGCGGAGGAAACACCGAUGGCGAAGGCAAUCCCCCUGGGCCUGCACUGACGCUCAUGCACGAAAGCGUGGGGAGCAAACAGGAUUAGAUACCCUGGUAGUCACGCCCUAAACGAUGUCAACUGGUUGUUGGGAAGGUUCCUUCUCAGUAACGUAGCUAACGC
RNAcentral lists this ribosomal RNA (512 nucleotides) under uncultured bacterium. RNAcentral's name for it is "partial 16S ribosomal RNA". It matches the Rfam family "Bacterial small subunit ribosomal RNA", at positions 355 to 858 of the family's 1533-position model. The record is from RNAcentral.